Long non-coding RNA from Antechinus flavipes (yellow-footed antechinus), 1348 nucleotides. RefSeq lists it as uncharacterized. The transcript has 3 exons. Lineage: Eukaryota; Metazoa; Chordata; Mammalia; Dasyuromorphia; Dasyuridae. The record is from RefSeq and is a predicted model, not a curated record.
CCCAGGCAAGAAAGGAUGUUUGAUUUGGUUUAAUUUCAGAACAAUGAACCAUACUUCACUUUGUUCAUUUUUUCACAUAAAGGAUAUAUCACAAGUCUUACUAGGAUUCAUGAUUCCCGAGGUCAGAGAGCCAUCUGUAUCUCUUUAAGAAGCAAGAAGAGUAAUGCAAGGCAGAUACCAUGAAGAUCAGGUCAUGAAUCCUAAUAUGAAGAUUUCAGAGGCUUUUGUGAAAUCAAGAAACUGUGACUGCUGCAUACCAGAACAAGAGAUGCAACUCACCAGAGGCUGCACACCCACACCUGAGAAGGAUGAGAAAGAAUGUGGUACAAAGAGAAAGUGGGAAUGGGAUGAAGAAGGAGUCUUGAAGAAACGUCCCGUCAGCAAAACCCUCCCAGCCCAAUUGAGCUUUGGGCUCAAUUUAAGUUGAACAAAUAUGUCAGGUGCGAGGAUAUCAACAUGUUCUCCUUUGAGUUCAACUUAACCCAUGCACAGAUUGAAGAGUGGUUCCUUAAACACAGAAAAAAAUUGUAUGGAAAAAAUGUUCUUUGAAUACAAUGAUGGUCAGAAUAAAUGAACUCAAUCAAAUUUGUAAAUAUGGGUAUAUAUGCUUCUACAAAUCAUGAGUAUAAGGAAGAAGAAUGAAAACAAUGAAGAAUAAAUAAAGUUGACUCCCAAAGAUUUUUUAGACAAAGAGUACAUCCUGAUCUACUUUCUUUUUUUUCUGAAACAUGGGAUGCACAAAGUUAGAGAAGCCACCCCAAAUGUUCAUGGGGACUAUUUGUGUCCCCUCUGUGGCAGAACACUGCAAGCUCAUAUUGGCGUGAUCAGCCACAGUCAGACACAAUAACUUGAUUCUAACAUAAUGAUGUCCCUCGAGAAUGAAAGACAACAACCAACCGUUUUCAAUGAGACUCCUGGGUAUGAGAUGUCAUGCCAUCAUUUUGAUUUUCAAAUACAUCAUGCAUGCCUAGAAUAGUCACACUGGAGAAACCCUAAAGGCACAUGUAUGGUAGAGUUCAUCUCUUUAAUAUUAAGUGUGUUCUGUAUCCCCAGUCUUGCUCUCAUUGGGAGAAGUCUUGCUCCUCUCCCAUGUCUGGAGUGCCUCCCCCCAUUAUGUCAUCCCCAUCUCUGGUGGCUCCCCCCACCCUGUCAGAGUGUUCCCCCUCUCAGACCCUGACUCUACCCCUGCCUUGGUCCACCCCCUGUGUCUGAGCUACCUGUAUAUAUGUCAUUGAGAACUCACAUUGUUUGCUGGAUUCUUGGAGACAACAGUGUCAUUCAGCCCUGGGACCAAACCAUGGAUCUAGUUGGUCCUAGUAAAUCUCUUUCUUUCAAAUAAAAUAGUAAU